Stegodyphus mimosarum is the source of this 73-nucleotide non-coding RNA. NCBI's taxonomy places the organism in Eukaryota, Metazoa, Arthropoda, Arachnida, Araneae, Eresidae. The record is from Rfam.
GCCUUCGUGGUGUAGUGAUCAGCACGCUCGACGCGUGUUCGAGAAGUCCGUGGUUCGAGUCCCCGCGAAGACG